AUACUGAAAUGCAUGGUGGGAAAUCAGUGUGAAAUUCAUUGGCUGUUCCUGCAACGGUUAUAGUCCGAGCGCCACCCAGUAU
This 82-nucleotide non-coding RNA is filed under the name unclassified sequences. The record is from Rfam.